Molecule: ribosomal RNA, 586 nt
Filed under: uncultured Tylospora
Lineage: Eukaryota; Fungi; Basidiomycota; Agaricomycetes; Atheliales; Atheliaceae
Description: eukaryotic LSU rRNA
Rfam family: 5.8S ribosomal RNA (bases 236-390)
Source: RNAcentral
GUAAAGUCGUAACAAGGUUUCCGUAGGUGAACCUGCGGAAGGAUCAUUAUCGAAUCGUAGGCGAGGGUUGUCGCUGGCCUCUCGGGGCAUGUGCACGCCCGAGCCCUUGAAUCCCAAACACCACAUGUGAACCCACCGUAGGCCUUCGGGCCUAUGUCUUAUCAUAUAAUCUGAAUGUCUAAUAGAAUGUAAACCCAUUUCGUUGCCUUGAAAACGUAACGAAAGAAAACUAUACAACUUUCAACAACGGAUCUCUUGGCUCUCGCAUCGAUGAAGAACGCAGCGAAAUGCGAUAAGUAAUGUGAAUUGCAGAUUUUCAGUGAAUCAUCGAAUCUUUGAACGCACCUUGCGCCCCUUGGUAUUCCGAGGGGCAUGCCUGUUUGAGUGUCAUUAAAUCCUCAACCCCUCCGAUUCGUUUCGGUGGGGAUUGGACUUGGAGCGUGCUGGCGAAGGUCGGCUCCUCUUUAAAUGCAUCAGCGGAGAAAAUGCCUUUUGCGCCUCUGGCCGUUCAGCGUGAUAAUGAUGUUGCGCUGCGGUCGAGCUUAAGGUCCGCUUCCAAAGGUCCUCGGACAAAUAUACAUAUGAC